Molecule: small nucleolar RNA, 107 nt
Organism: Lactuca sativa (garden lettuce)
Lineage: Eukaryota; Viridiplantae; Streptophyta; Magnoliopsida; Asterales; Asteraceae
Source: RefSeq, a predicted model, not a curated record
AAGUCAUUUUAAGGGCAGUUUCUGAGUAACCAUUUAUAUCGUUCCCAUGCCUCAUAAAGCGACUCUCCUGAUUGUUGCUUAAAGUUGGCUAUUGACUUCUUGAGUUU